UUGUGGCUGGGGGUGAAAGGCCAAUCAAACCGGGAGAUAGCUGGUUCUCCCCGAAAGCUAUUUAGGUAGCGCCUCGUGAAUUCAUCUCCGGGGGUAGAGCACUGUUUCGGCAAGGGGGUCAUCCCGACUUACCAACCCGAUGCAAACUGCGAAUACCGGAGAAUGUUAUCACGGGAGACACACGGCGGGUGCUAACGUCCGUCGUGAAGAGGGAAACAACCCAGACCGCCAGCUAAGGUCCCAAAGUCAUGGUUAAGUGGGAAACGAUGUGGGAAGGCCCAGACAGCCAGGAUGUUGGCUUAGAAGCAGCCAUCAUUUAAAGAAAGCGUAAUAGCUCACUGGUCGAGUCGGCCUGCGCGGAAGAUGUAACGGGGCUAAACCAUGCACCGAAGCUGCGGCAGCGACGCUUAUGCGUUGUUGGGUAGGGGAGCGUUCUGUAAGCCUGUGAAGGUGUGCUGUGAGGCAUGCUGGAGGUAUCAGAAGUGCGAAUGCUGACAUAAGUAACGAUAAAGCGGGUGAAAAGCCCGCUCGCCGGAAGACCAAGGGUUCCUGUCCAACGUUAAUCGGGGCAGGGUGAGUCGACCCCUAAGGCGAGGCCGAAAGGCGUAGUCGAUGGGAAACAGGUUAAUAUUCCUGUACUUGGUGUUACUGCGAAGGG
RNAcentral lists this ribosomal RNA (658 nucleotides) under Escherichia coli. Its description in RNAcentral is "partial 23S ribosomal RNA". It matches the Rfam family "Bacterial large subunit ribosomal RNA", at positions 809 to 1468 of the family's 2925-position model. The record is from RNAcentral. Lineage: Bacteria; Pseudomonadati; Pseudomonadota; Gammaproteobacteria; Enterobacterales; Enterobacteriaceae.